Molecule: long non-coding RNA, 392 nt
Filed under: Elaeis guineensis (African oil palm)
Lineage: Eukaryota; Viridiplantae; Streptophyta; Magnoliopsida; Arecales; Arecaceae
Description: long non-coding RNA (EGUI_LNC061485)
Source: RNAcentral
UGGUCGUCCAGAUUUAGCAUGAAGCGAUAGUCGCUAGGACUUAGCUCACCCUGCUCAACCAUUUUCAAGCUAAAAGACUAGAAGGAUAUGUGAAGAGAGAGAGGAAGAAUAUAUGGAGGAAUAGAUGGGUGAGAAAGAAAACCUACUUGGAAGCAAAGGAAGGAGACAAAGGAUACAAAGCAGUCGCCAAAAAUCUUCGAAAAUCCUUCGAAAAGGGUCAUAUCAUGGAAAAAGAAAAAAAUGCCCCUCAUUCCAAAAAGCUACCAUAAUGGACAAGAGAAAGAAGGAAUAGAAGACUCUGGAAGUAAUUGAAAAAGUCAAGGACAAGCACUUCUUCUAUUUAUAGCUAGGAGAAGAUAACGCCCAGAUAUUAAAUCAUUUCUUCUCCAACA